RNAcentral lists this ribosomal RNA (220 nucleotides) under uncultured Glomus. RNAcentral's name for it is "partial small subunit ribosomal RNA". It matches the Rfam family "Eukaryotic small subunit ribosomal RNA", at positions 591 to 816 of the family's 1831-position model. Lineage: Eukaryota; Fungi; Glomeromycota; Glomeromycetes; Glomerales; Glomeraceae. The record is from RNAcentral.
CCAAUAGCGUAUAUUAAAGUUGUUGCAGUUAAAAAGCUCGUAGUUGAAUUUCGGGGUUAGUAGGUUGGUCAUGCCUCUGGUAUGCACUGGCCUCACUGAUUCCUCCUUCCUGAUGAGCCGUAAUGCCAUUAAUUUGGUGUUGCGGGGAAUUUGGACUGUUACUUUGAAAAAAUUAGAGUGUUUAAAGCAAGCUAACGCUUGAAUACAUUAGCAUGGAAUA